Astatotilapia calliptera (eastern happy) is the source of this 2027-nucleotide long non-coding RNA. Lineage: Eukaryota; Metazoa; Chordata; Actinopteri; Cichliformes; Cichlidae. The record is from Ensembl.
CUGGAGUGGACCAUCACCUCACUACCUGGAUCCUGGACUACCUCACCGACCGACCACAGUAUGUGAGGACUCAGGGCUGUGUGUCGGACAGGGUCGUCUGCAGUACGGGGGCCCCACAGGGAACGGUUCUGGCUCCGUUCCUCUUCACCAUCUACACUGCAGACUUCUCCCACAAUUCCACCCAGUGCUUCCUGCAGAAGUUCUCUGAUGAUUCUGCAAUAGUCGGCCUCAUCACUGAUGGGGACGACAAGGAGUACAGAGGUCUGACCCAAGACUUUGUGGACUGGUGCCAGCUGAACUACCUCCAGAUCAACGCCAGUAAAACCAAGGAACUGGUGGUAGACUUCCGCAGGCACAAGCAUAUUCUAUUUUUAUCUUAUUGUAUAUUUAUUUUAUUUUAUUCUACUGUAUAUAGUAUUUUAUUUUAUUCUAUUCUGUACAGUUGUGUACUGUAUUUAUUCUUAUUGUAUUCUAAUUUUUGCCUCAUAACUUUUGCACUGUCCACUUCCUGCUGUGACAAAACAAAAUUCCCACGUGUGGGACUAAUAAAGGUUAUCUUAUCUUAUCUUAUCUUAUCUUAUCUUAAGUUAUGUUGUAGGAAUAACUUGGGGGCCCAUGACCCUCUUACGGGACACGCCCAUCUGGGACUUUACACCAGUUGCACCUAAGAACUGAAGAAGCUUCUGGGAUGAGAGAUGAAACGUCUUCAAGAAACUUAAAGAAGUGCAGACGCUUUUCUUUCCAAGCUCCUUAGUCUAAUAGUUUACAGAUUAAAAUGAGAGAGAAGAAAAUAACUUACAGAUGCUAAAUUACAACACAGUUCCUCAAAAUUAUUGCAUGAAUCAACGUUUUGAUUCUGCAAGGUUUUUUUUGUUUUUUUGUAUUUUAUUAUUUAUUUUUUUUACAAAUAAAUUAGUUAUUCAUUGUACUAAAACAUUUUGAGAUAAAGAAAUAACAAAUAAGAGCUGUUGAAUGUAAAAUCCUAAAAUAACAGCUUUUUAAAUGUACACACAUCUAAACGCUGGAAACUAUGGUGGAGGGUAGCUCACAGACUCAGCUCUGCUGUCAAAAGGAAGCUUACAGGAAAUAACAGCUUAAUGUCUGCAGAGUCCACACGUUAGUUUGUUACACUGAGACAUUUGAAUGUUUUCUGGCAUUUGCCUUAUUUUAGUAAAACAUUUUUAUUUAGUUUUAUUUAGCUUUAAUUCACAUGUUGAGCUAUUUUUGUACGAUUUUUAAAAUAUUUUGCUCACAUUUUCACUUGUUUUAUUAAUUUUCUUUAUUAUUUUAUUCUUUUUAUUCUACCCUAUGUAUAUUUUCAUUUAUGUUUAUGCUUAUUUAAAACAUUGCAUGUUAAUUAAUGUGAGCACUUAAACAUAAGCAACAUUUUAACUUUUUAUUUUAUUUUGUCGACAUUUUUGUUUACAUCCGUUUCCUUCAGUUUUUUGUUGUUGUUUCUUUCUUUUUCAAAUUCAGGGUCAUAUUUUGGCUGCUCUAACGGGAAGCUUGGGACAAAUAAAGUGUAUUAAUAAGCGAACAGACUCUAGUAAUUAAUGACUACGUAUGUACUGACGUCAAACGUAUGCUGUAGGAGCGUGUUGCGAUGGUAACGGACAACACACCGGACAAGAGCCGCUAAACAGGGUCGAGAUGACCAUGUCGCAGCUGGAUGUCGACGGUUUUCCAAUUUCGUGGAAAGAUCCACAGGAUGCAGACACAGUAUCCAUGUUUGAUGUGAUUUACGGCAAAGUGAGAGAGAAGAUCAUCCUGCAGCGGCUGAUAAUGAUUUCUCGGCUCCCCCACGACCUUGCUGAUAGGACAGACCUGGGAGCUCAUUAUGAAAAUCUCAACUUUCAGCUGAACAAACAGUACAUAUGGGAUCACAUAACAGGCCUGCUGCUGAUUUAUCCAUCCUACCUGCUGCACAUCAUUGAAGUAAGUUCUCCUGCACAGAAACAACAAAUGUAUGGCUGAAGUUUGUGAAAGUGUGUGCUCAAAGUUUGCUGUGCCUCUCUCUUCCAGUCGUC